AUGAUCAACAUCAACAGGACCCAGGAAGUCGAGGUGGUCCUGAGGCCUCAGGUGCAGAAAGAGGACCUGAACAGAGCCCAGGAGCAAAUGGCGUUUGGUUAUGACUUGGAUGCACAGAUGAUCCCUGGACCCACACAGCUGAGUACUACCUGCCGAAGAUUCCUGCUGCUGCUGACCAUUGUUGGCCAUGAGGGCAGCGACCUAGCAGCCAUAUUGGGCACUCCAGAGGAGAAAUGCUUCCUUGAGACUCUGUUUUUCUGCCUCCUGGAUACGAGGAGCCUAGAGAACCUGCAGCUCCUGCUGACUGAAGAGGAAUCCUGGAAACAUUUUGUGGCAGGAGUUGGUUUGUCCAGGGAAGAGGAAGAUGCCUGGUGGGAAGCUCUUGUUGAGAACUUUGCAGAUCCUGAUGAAGAAGAAGAAGAAGAUGAACUCCAAAGAAAGUGACCUUCUGGACAAGAAAGAGAGAAAAGAGGAAGAUACCUUGAGGGAGGCUCUUGGUGGGAAUACAGCUGAUACUGAUACAGAAGAUGAAGACCAACUCCAAAAUGACCUGUGGCACCAGGAAAGGUUCUUGGAGGCUUAUCCUCAGGUGAGGCAGGAGCUCGAGGAUCACAUCAAGAAGCUCCACGCCCUGGCAGACAAGGUUGACAAGGUGCACAGGGACUGCACCAUCUCACAGGUGGUGGCCACCUCCAGCAGUGCUGUGUCUGGAGUCCUCACAAUCCUUGGCCUGGCUCUGGCACCUGUGACAGCAGGAGUCAGUCUGGCACUGUCAGCCACUGGCAUGGGGCUGGGAGCAGCAGCGACUGUGACUAGUGUUUCCACAAUCAUUGUGGAAAAAGUAAUCGUGGUGUCUGCUGAAGCUAAAGCCAGCAAGCUGGUGCCAACCAAAGACACGAUGAACGGCAUGAAAGAAGUUUUGGAGCAGAGUGGCCCCAGAAUUGUUUCCAUAUCCAAAAAUUUGAUAAACUUUAAGGAUAACAUUCAAGCCAUCAAACUGAUCAAAGCCAAUCCUCACCUAGCAACUAAUGCCAAGUUUCUCAUGACCGCAGGGAAGACAUCAACCCAAACCACUAGACAGGUGAAGGAAGUCUUUGGAGGUACAGCUCUGGCAAUGACCAAAGGAGCCCGGAUCAUGGGUGCAGCCACUGCAGGUGUUUUCCUCAUGAUAGAUGUGGUCAGGCUUGUGAAACACUCGAAGCAUUUGCAUGAGGGAGCUAAGUCAGUGUCAGCUGCAGAGCUGCGACAGCAGGCUCGGGACCUGGAGCAGAAGCUGCAGGAGCUCAACCAGGUUCACGACAGCCUGAUUCAGUGACCGCUUCCCCUUCAGUGCAGCUCAGAGGACUGGGAGGGAGUGUGGUGGACAGAGCCGUGAACACAUGAGAGGCCCUUUUAGUCUCCAUACUGCCUUGCAGUUCAGCCAAGUGGGCCAUCACAGUGACCAUUCUUUUCUCUCUGACUCCUUCAGAGCUACACUAGGACAAAAUGUAGAAGCUUUCUUAAGAACCCUGGAAACUUUGCAGGUGGAUUCAUAGAAUUGAUCAUUUCUUCCUCCAUCACUGGUGGCAGCCUCGUUCCAUUGCCACCCAGAAGACGGUGAAGGAAAGAAUAAAUACAAAGCCAAGGGAAGUGGCUGUCCCAUCACCCACUCAGAGGGUACUGUGUACAGGCUGACAGCCAUGCCAUGCCCAAAGAGGCCUCGAGUGGGAUAACAGUUGUGAGAUCCUCAGGAAACAGAUCCAAGCAUCGAUCGCCUGAUCAGCUCAGGGCAGGAUGCUGUGUGUAGACACAAACAUCAAAUGGCCUUAGAACUCAUGGAAUAUGGGCCACCUGAUAGCACAACCAGGAUUGGUGUGCCCUGGAGAAGCAGAGCCCUGAGGACUACGCGUCCUGAGGACUUCUUGCUGUUUUCCCAGUCUCCAUGUCCUUCCUAAUCCCUGUGAUGUGUGAAGAGUCUAAUGGGGCUUGCAGCCCCUCAGUGAGCAGGAUCAUGGGCACACAAUAAUAGGGUUUGACCUUUUUCCAGCAUUGCUGCUGGAGCAGAUUAAUGAUUUGCUCGCCACCCUGGGAAAGAACUUUGAAAUGUAGGUUAUUAGCAGUGACCACCACACUUACAAAGAACUUGGAGAUGGGGAAAUUAGGUUAAGAUGUUUUUUGCUAGUGGCUCUGAUGUAAAAAUUCUAGAAUACAGUUUGAAGUUCAGAAAGGCACCCUCUUAAUAGCUGAGUUAGGGAUAUUUUAUGGUCAGGGAACAUGAACAAUAAAAGGCUGCUGUGAGAUGCCACUCUUGCUGUAACAGGGCUUGUGAUCAAGGUGAUGAUUGAUUUCUUAUACCCAUUUUUGCCCUCAACUUCCUGAUGCAAUCUAAUAAAAAAUUGAUGAGUAGAUUAUUCAUGCACUCUGAGAAUUUAAGAUAGAAAUGACUGAUUUUUAAUAUAAAUGUUUAGAUUUGUGGCUCUGUCAAGAUUUUUAUAAGACUGCCUUUUAAGAUAAAUAACAAAGUAAUUGUUUCUUUCUAACUGCAGAUUGUAGCCUUCCAGGAAAAAACAAAGGGCCUGAGAAAAUGAUCUUGCUUGCUUACACUUUGUUAAGCUAUAAAAAGUUACUUAGUUACAAAUGUUGUGGGUUGUUGGGAAUAAUUUGCUUUUUCUUCACCUGUGAUAUGUAAAAUGUUUUUUAUGAAAAAGGGAUAUACUGUUUCUUUGUAAUCAUUUGCUUAAAGAUUAAUAGAAUAUAGUCACAUUGUAAUUUUUAUGCUGCUUGAAAGAGUUUGCUUGGAUAUAUAAGAUGUGGAAGAAAAAUAAACUGUUGGAGCUUGUUUAGCUUCA
Molecule: RNA transcript, 2828 nt
Organism: Rattus norvegicus (Norway rat)
Lineage: Eukaryota; Metazoa; Chordata; Mammalia; Rodentia; Muridae
Gene: Apol7b-ps1
Gene name: apolipoprotein L7b, pseudogene 1
Source: RefSeq, a predicted model, not a curated record